UGCGGGAUGGAGCAGUCUGGUAGCUCGUCGGGCUCAUAACCCGAAGGUCAUCGGUUCAAAUCCGGUUCCCGCUACCA
This 77-nucleotide transfer RNA is filed under the name Cobetia marina. RNAcentral describes it as "tRNA-Met". It matches the Rfam family "tRNA". Rfam says of the family: Transfer RNA (tRNA) molecules are approximately 80 nucleotides in length. Their secondary structure includes four short double-helical elements and three loops (D, anti-codon, and T loops). Lineage: Bacteria; Pseudomonadati; Pseudomonadota; Gammaproteobacteria; Oceanospirillales; Halomonadaceae. The record is from RNAcentral. RNAcentral also lists the same sequence under 33 other names.